GAUGAACGCUGGCGGCGUGCCUAAUACAUGCAAGUCGAGCGAACAGACGAGGAGCUUGCUCCUUUGACGUUAGCGGCGGACGGGUGAGUAACACGUGGGUCACCUACCUAUAAGACUGGGAUAACUUCGGGAAACCGGAGCUAAUACCGGAUAAUAUUUCGAACCGCAUGGUUCGAUAGUGAAAGAUGGCUUUGCUAUCACUUAUAGAUGGACCUGCGCCGUAUUAGCUAGUUGUUAAGGUAACGGCUUACCAAGGCAACGAUACGUAGCCGACCUGAGAGGGUGAUCGGCCACACUGGAACUGAGACACGGUCAAGACUCCUACGGGAGGCAGCAGUAGGGAAUCUGCCGCAAUGGGCGAAAGCCUGACGGAGCAACGCCGCGUGAGUGAUGAAGGUCUUCGGAGCGUAAAACUCUGUUAUUAGGGAAGAACAAAUGUGUAAGUAACUGUGGACGUCGUGACGGUACCUAAUCAGAAAGCCACGGCUAACUACGUG
This 497-nucleotide ribosomal RNA is filed under the name uncultured bacterium. Its description in RNAcentral is "partial 16S ribosomal RNA". It matches the Rfam family "Bacterial small subunit ribosomal RNA", at positions 28 to 507 of the family's 1533-position model. The record is from RNAcentral.